GACUGCUGUAGCGCAGUGGUAGUGCAUCUGCUUUGCAGGCAAAAGCUCUCAAGUUCAAUUCCUGGCCUCUCA
Non-coding RNA from Phrynosoma platyrhinos (Desert horned lizard), 72 nucleotides. The record is from the annotation of a GenBank genome assembly. NCBI's taxonomy places the organism in Eukaryota, Metazoa, Chordata, Lepidosauria, Squamata, Phrynosomatidae.